This 30-nucleotide small RNA is filed under the name Bombyx mori (domestic silkworm). RNAcentral describes it as "ovarian small RNA-7288". The record is from RNAcentral. Lineage: Eukaryota; Metazoa; Arthropoda; Insecta; Lepidoptera; Bombycidae.
UCCCGAAGCAGCCAUGCCCCGAGAGGACCU